This is a long non-coding RNA of Humulus lupulus (European hop), 1354 nucleotides long. RefSeq lists it as uncharacterized. The record is from RefSeq and is a predicted model, not a curated record. Lineage: Eukaryota; Viridiplantae; Streptophyta; Magnoliopsida; Rosales; Cannabaceae. The transcript has 2 exons.
GCUUAUUUUUUCCAAGCACACAAAAGAUGAAGAAGGAGAAGACUCUUUCUCCCUUUCUCUCAUCUGCACAACCAGCCAAGACCCUGCCUAUCGCUCUCUAUCUCUCUUUCUCGAUCCCUCAAUAUUUCUCUCAUUCUCUCACUCUGGCGCCGCUCUCUCCCUCCGUCCUCUCCACGUACUCUCCCCUCACUGUGUAGCGGCAAUGGUUGGGCUUGGCAAGGGCUAGUGAUCAGGCUCUCUUCGCCGCAAGGUGCAGCAGUAAGUUUUCACUCCUUUUUCUUUCUUUUCAUUUCUACUUUCUGAUUUCGUUGGGGACGUCGGAGGUCGGGUUGUUUGCAGGUGUUUUGCAUGGCGAGGGCUGAAGGUGAGUGAUGAUUUCGGCUGAAACUUAUCUUAUGUCCUAGUCUAUAUUGGAUUUAUGCUGAUUGAGACCAAUUAUCUAACCUAAAAUCCACAUGCAAGUGAAUUUUGUCAAUCUCUGACCUAGAAAUUCUUAGAAUUAAUUUCUAAAUAGAUUUUGUGGUUUGUAUCUUGCUUAGUUCUAGUUUAUUUCUUCUAAACAACUGUGAGAAGAUUCAUUCGAUAUCAAUUGAAUAUUUUGCAGUCUUUUAUUUCAAAUCUACUCAAGGCGUUUGAAAAAAAUCCUAAUAGAAUUAAACAAAAAUAAUAACAUGAAUUUACACACACGAAAGAUAUUUGAACAUUCAUUGUACGUUUGAAAGGUUGUACCUCUGAGGUAUCGUGAUAUUGAAGUGGCUGGACUUACCAAUAUAGCCAUGUUUAUACCACUAUUACCACCAGAGCUGCCUUGCAUAUAGUGUUUACCAUGAAAAUCAAUUAACUGCAUGUCUCUGCUUAGCUCUCAUUCAUGUGCAAUCUUGUUGAUUGAGCUCUUCUUCAUUUUUUUUUUAAUUUAUUUGUUUUUCUUCAUACUUGUUUUAUGUGUCUUCAUCUACCGUGGUUUGGAUACUUGUACAAAUUUAUUGGAUAUGUUCUUUAGUAAAAUUGAUUUUUUUUAAUUCGUUCUUUGUUUGGUUCGUAAAUAAGGUUUGAAAGUUGAGAAUUGUGCAGUUCUCAAUAUCAAUCUCUUCGUUGUGCUGCUAUCUUCAUUAUUAUUGAGAUUUUAAGUUUUGUUUUAUUUUCCUUGGAAUCUUUAUAUGACUAGGCAAUUGGAUCUUACAUAUUAUGUGAGAGUAGCUUUAUAAAGAAAUUAUCAUGUUGGUGCUUGGUGUCCAUUCUUAGUUGUUUGAUGUUAUGAACCUAUGCGACAAUAUUAACUGAUUUAUUUUUUUAUAUCUCUCUUUAAAACUUAAAAUAUUAUCUAAUAAUAAUAGCAAAUAUUCACUUCUGCAUA